Molecule: transfer RNA, 67 nt
Filed under: Tetraserica leishanica
Lineage: Eukaryota; Metazoa; Arthropoda; Insecta; Coleoptera; Scarabaeidae
Description: tRNA-Ser
Source: RNAcentral
GAAAUAUGUUAAUCAAGAAUAAGCUUCUAACUUUUUUCUUUAGCAGUGAAAUUCUGUUAAUAUUUCU